Passer domesticus (house sparrow) is the source of this 705-nucleotide long non-coding RNA. RefSeq lists it as uncharacterized. NCBI's taxonomy places the organism in Eukaryota, Metazoa, Chordata, Aves, Passeriformes, Passeridae. The transcript has 3 exons. The record is from RefSeq and is a predicted model, not a curated record.
GUGUGAAAAAGUGGGUAGGUUGGCUGGUCAGGGAAAACAUUGAGGAAAAGGAUCUGGAGAAAAAGGACCUUGAGGAGGUAGGGCAGCCUCUUCUGUUGUCUUCUCACCUUGAGUACAAGGACCCAUUUGGAAAUGGAAGUGUCAUUCUUCAUCAGCUCCGAGCCAAGGUUUGGAAGAUGCACAACAAGCUUACUUUGUGUACACCGGGACAAUGAGCUGACAGCACAUUAUUACUUUUCCUUUUGGAUGCCUGAUGGAGAAGAAAAUUCAGGACGUGUGUAGAGCAGUGUCACUAACAGUACCAUCCACCAGGAUCUCUACCAGCACUGCAGGAUCAUGAAAUGUUUCUUUGCCUACCUAGUGGGAGUUUCAAGCCCACUUCCAAGUAUUAAUCCCUUCAGAUAAAGUGAAUGGGCAGGUUAGAAAGAGGUAACUAACCACCAAACAAAAUGAAAUUGACUGAAACAGUUCAUAUCUUUACCCAAUCUGUUAUGCUUUAAACACUGCCUUUGAUGACAAGGACAUGAUCAAUGGACAGAUCUCUGACAUAGUCCAGGAACAGAGAUGUUUAAAUCAUAUACAGAAAAGGCUGGAAAGUACUGAUUAAUCCUCCUGAGCACACACACACAUGAAAAAAAAAAAAGUCAAGAGACAGAAGACUGUUGUUUGUGUUUUAAAGAUGCAUAUACCAGGAAGCCUGAUUUU